Molecule: ribosomal RNA, 301 nt
Filed under: uncultured bacterium
Lineage: Bacteria
Description: partial 16S ribosomal RNA
Rfam family: Bacterial small subunit ribosomal RNA
Source: RNAcentral
CAGCAGCCGCGGGAAUACGUAGGGUGCAAGCGUUAAUCGGAAUUACUGGGCGUAAAGCGUGCGCAGGCGGUUUUGUAAGUCUGACGUGAAAUCCCCGGGCUUAACCUGGGAAUUGCGUUGGAGACUGCAAGGCUAGAAUCUGGCAGAGGGGGGUAGAAUUCCACGUGUAGCAGUGAAAUGCGUAGAGAUGUGGAGGAACACCGAUGGCGAAGGCAGCCCCCUGGGUCAAGAUUGACGCUCAUGCACGAAAGCGUGGGGAGCAAACAGGAUUAGAUACCCCUGUAGUCCCUGUCUCUUAUAC